This 4809-nucleotide long non-coding RNA is filed under the name Sus scrofa (pig). RNAcentral's name for it is "lncRNA (ENSSSCG00005034613.1)". The record is from RNAcentral. Lineage: Eukaryota; Metazoa; Chordata; Mammalia; Artiodactyla; Suidae.
ACACACACACACACACACACACACACACACACACACACACAGAGCUUGUUUUGUUUUGUUGCACUUUGCUUUGCUGUGCUUCGCAGAUAUGGCAUUUUUUACAAGUGGAAGGUUUGUGGCAACUCUGUGUCAAGCAAGUCUAUCAGCACCAUUUUCCAAAAUAUUUGCUCACUUCAUGUCUUUCUGUCACAUUUGGUCAUUCUCGGGAUACUGCAAACGUUUUCAUUGUUAUUAUAUUUGUAACAGUGAUCUGUGGUCAGGGAUCUUUGCUGUUACUAUUGCAAAAGGAUUAUGACUCACUGGAGGCUCAGAUGAUGGUUGGCAAUUUUUAGAAAUAAAGGGCUUUAAAAUAAAGAUAGGCUAGAGUUCCCAUCGUGGCUCAGCGGAAAUGAAUCUGACUAGUAUCCAUGAGGACACAGGUUCAAUUCCUGGCCUCAUUCGGUGGGUUAAGAAUCUGGCAUUGCCAAGAGCUGUGGUAUGAGUCACAGAUGUACCUUGGAUCUAGCAGUGCUGUGGCUGAGGUGUAGGCUGGCAGCUAGAGCUCCGAUUUGACCCCUAGCUUGGAAAGCUCCAUGUGUCAAGGGUGCAGCCCUAAAAAAAAAAAAAAAAAAAAAAGGUAGGUACAUUAUUUUUAAGACAUACUGCUAUUACAUACUGAACUGACUAGGGGAUAGUGGAAACAUAACUUAUUUGGGGCCUUGCCCAUGGCUCGUGGAAGUUCCUGGGCCAGGGAUUGCCUGUGCCACGCAGUGACCCAAGCUGCUGCAGUGACAAUGUUGGAUCCUCCUUAACCCCUCUUGAGCCACCAGAGACCUCCCCCCAUCCUUUUUUUUUUUUUGGCCAGGAAACAUAAUGUUUGUUUGUGUUAGGAAACCAAAAGCAUCGUGUGACUCACUUUAUUGGGAUAUUUGCUUUAUGGCCAUGGGAUGAGCCCACAGUGUCUCCAAGGUCUGCCUGCAUGUGAUGUUCUGUGUGCCUGGCACUGUUCAGGACACCAGGGAACAACCCAGCAGAGGGCCAAACAGAGGUCUCUCCUCUCUCAUAGAGCUUGAAUUCUGGUAGGGGAGAGACACAGACAAUAAACAUAAAUCAGUUACUCGUAUGGACUUUUAGAAAGUGAUAUAUGUUGGCGUUCCCAUUGUGGCUCAGUGGGUUAAGGACUUGAUGUCGUCUCUGUGAGGAUGUGGGUUCGAUCCCUGGCCUCGCUCGGUGGGUUAAGAAUCUGGCAUUGACAUAAGCUGCAGCAUAUGUUGCAGAUGUGGCCUUGAUCUGGCGUUGCUGUGGCUGUGGUGUAGGCCUCAGCUGUAGCUCCAAUUCAGCCCCCUCACCCUAAAACUUCUAUAUGCCGCAGGUGUGGCUAUAAAAAAACAUAAAGAAAAAAGAAGAAGGUAAUACAUGUCGUGAAGGAGUGCUGGUGAGGCGUGUGGACAUUUGUUACAUAUUUUUCCUUGGUCUUUAUUUCCUUGGUCUUUACCUGGCAUCUGUAGGGCAAUGAAGCCUUAAUAUAGAGGGAGAGAAAAUGGGAGAACUUUCCACAGGACAGAGACAGAGAAAGCGGUCAAGCUUUGUUGUUUUGUGUGCACCUUGAGACUUCAUGCUGGGAUUCCAGGAGCAAAAGGAAGACAAGACACGUGAUGUAAACAGCCCUCCUGUUGUAGAAAUAGAGAAUGUGAGAUGGGGGGCGGAGUCAGUGCCUGGGUGAGAGCCCAUUUUUUUCGUGCUCCAUUCCAGUUUUGUAAGCACAAACGUCGGCAAGUUAAAAAGCUAAAGGGGAUACAAAAAACCAAAUGGGUGCAAACCACAGCCAGAGACAGAGGAGGCAGGAUGAGGCUGAGCUGCUGCCAGGCCCCGGGAGGCGGCGUGUGGCCAGCAGCGGGAGGGGUCCAUGCUACAAGCAGAUCUCGUUGAACUUGGUAUUGUUCCACAGCAAACAGAAGCCCAGAGCUUGUUGGCAGUGGAGCCCCAUACCGAGCAUAGAGAGGGCAGAGCAGCUGUGGGGAGCUGGGCUCAAGGAAGCAAACACAGGGAGGAGGCCAGCUUUAGGGCCGUACAAUCUGGGGCUCCCUGGAGAGCUGGGCUGGUAUUAAUAUUCACCAGGUGCCCCAGCAACCUGUCAUGGGUAGGGAGAGGGGAACAUAGCUGCAGGAUGUGCAGCUCACAUCCAAAUGUGGCAUGAUCCUGGGAGGUCAGAAGGGGGCUCUGCCCAGUGAGUACAUGGCACCGUCCCCAGGGCACAGUUGCUGGCCACAGACAGUCACUAGCUCCAUGCUGACAACAUUAGCCAGCACUUAUUGAGGACUUGCUUGUUCAACAUAAUGCACACUGAACAUUAUAGGGAUUAUCUUACACUCACCACCAAUCAGUCUAUCAAUUACGACUGACGUGGUUACAAGUGACCAAAAAUCAAACCCCAAAUGAUGAGAAGCAGAAAGGGAAUUUGUCAACUCAUGCGACUGAAAAAUCCAGGCGUUUCUAGCUUCAGGCAUGGCUGGAUCCAGGAACUUAAACAAUGUUCUUGGGCCCAGUCUUGACUCUUGCUUUUCAUGCUCAGAUAGGUAGUCGUGAUGGCAAAAGGGCUGCAACCACUCAGUCCUGCAUUCUUUCAACAUGACGUCCAACAGAACUUCCCAUCCUCAAAGUUCCAGUAAGUGACAUGGCUUCUCAUCAGCUCGAAUGGGCAUCACAUGCCCAUCCUUGAAAAGAUUACUGUGGCUGCAGGGCUUUGUCUUCUUCCUACCUGCUUCUCCGGAGUGUGGGGUGGACUCUCAAUCAUCAUGAGUUGGAAUGGGUGCUCAAAUGAAAACAGGUACAUGGAGGCAGCUGGGUAAAAAUUAAAAUGUCCAUCCUUUGAUGCUAGAAUCACCUCUAUUUUGCAGGUGGGGAAAUUGAGGCUUGGAAAGAUGGUGGCACUUGUUCCCACGAGUCAGUGGUGGAGCUGGGACAGCAGCAACCCAGCAGCAUCAUCUGUCCACUUUCGAUUCAUCUCCUCUCUGAACAACAGCCUCACCUCCUGCUGCUUGUCCCUAUCCCCUCCCUCUUUCCUGAUAUGUCCUUGGAGCGGCCAAGUCUCUCCAGGCCCCCCCCAACCCGGGCAAACGUUAGGGUCGCCCUGAAGACAGCAGGAGUUGUCACAAGGCCAUGGGCCCAUCAAUCUCGUCAGCUUCCGAGGACCAUUCCCAAGGCAAAGGGUCAUUGAUACCAUCAUCUCUAUCUCCUUUAAUGCUAAUUACUUUUUUUCCCAUGUCAACAUAAAAAUCAUCUUAAAUGUCCUCAUUAAAGCAGAUGUGAUUUCUGACCACAGAAUCAUCAACUCAGCCUGGGAAAGACUUUCAGGGGAGAAAAUGUUCUCCGAGCCCCAAAUGGCAAUGCUGAGUGAUUUAGAAUAUCAAGUUUGUAUGAUUUUUAAUCAUUAAAGGAGAUGUAAAAACAUAUUUUAUACACAAUCUUUUAUCUUACACUUAUUUUUAUAUUUCUCUAUAACAAUUUAUUGCGAUGCAUAGAUCACCAUUACAUCAGACAUUUAUGGCUCCAUUAAAAUUCAAUGCCACCAUAAAUUUGGGCCGGUUAAAGUGGUGACAUUUGUAACAGCUUCCACAAGGACAUAUUUUAUAUUUAAAGUGAAACUUUGAGAAGAAACUUUUGUUAAAGAAAAAAAAAAUCCUUGUAGGGUAGGAGAGGGAUAUGAGAUUUUUCUGCUGUCUAAAACACGUAAUGCCUUCCCUAAUACCUCCUGUAUUAAGAAGCCAGACUUUUGCUAAAUACUAGGUGUGCUAUUUCUAGUAUUUAGGGAUUAACGGGAAUCAUAUGAUAAUACUAUCAUUGACUAGAAAUACUUGGCUCUGCCCAAUCCUUUGGUAGCCUGAGCCCUGGGAGAAUUUUAGAAGUAAGGGAAAAUAUUAAAUCAGACUUUCAAACAAUGCAGUGUCCAUAUAAUGAAAGAUUUUCUGAUUUGGGGGCAUGAGGGUCUUCAGAGAGUGAUAAAAUAUGGGGCUAAUGAUUUUCCAUCAUUUGGUCCAAGAUGGUGAGUUCCUCUACUGGAAAAUUUAGAGUCCGUGUGCCUCUCUUUCUCUCUCUGUCUCUCCAAUCCAUCAGAAGGUAUUAGAGCAGCUUUUGUGAGUCUUAUAGUUUUAUACAUGACUUGCAAAGUAAGUGGGGAGAUAGUUCUUGUUCUGAAGGAACCUUCUAUACUGGGAUGCCCUCGAGGAAAGACUUUUGCAUCCUCAGGAGCCAGAAGAGCAUCUGACACAAGGUGGAUAUCCAUUAACACCCUUCAUUCAGCUCAUUGGGGCUGUUGGACAAAGUGUCCACAAGGACAACUCUGGGAGAUUACGUGCCCAAUGAGGCAUGACUGGGGGUCUAAUUGUACAAAGAAUGGAUAUCCCAUAUGACUUCAGAGAAAGAGGAGUCGAGGAGGGCUGUGCAAGCUUGAGAAGGGCUCACGGAAGAAGAGGCAUCAGGUGGGUACCCUUUGACCUUCCAGAAGUAGCAUAACAGGUGGUCUAGACUGGAAGUAGCAAGUGGGCUGAGUAAGAGCAACUUCAAGAGCCUCUCUGGAACUUCCUGUUGCAGAGCAGUGGAAACGAAUCCGACUAGGAACCAUGAGGUUGGGGGUUCGAUCCCUGGGCUCGCUCAGUGGGUUAAGGAUCUGGCAUUGAGGUGAGCUGUGGUGUAGGUCGCAGACGUGGCUCAGAUCCUGCAUUGCUGUGGCUGUGGCAUAGGCCUAUGGCUACAGCUCUGAUUCAACCCCUAGCCUGGGAACUUCCAUGUGCCAUGGGUGAGGCCCUAAAAAAAAAAAAAGGAAAAAAAAAA